CAACCUGUGGCACUCAAACUGCGUGGGCACUUUUUUGUGCUCUGAAGAAAAGUGCCGCCAGGUUUUGAGUGUUACCGGUUG
Molecule: microRNA precursor, 81 nt
Filed under: Nannospalax galili (Upper Galilee mountains blind mole rat)
Lineage: Eukaryota; Metazoa; Chordata; Mammalia; Rodentia; Spalacidae
Description: miRNA (ENSNGAG00000008168.1)
Rfam family: mir-290 microRNA precursor family (bases 7-75)
Source: RNAcentral